Molecule: long non-coding RNA, 502 nt
Filed under: Capsicum annuum
Lineage: Eukaryota; Viridiplantae; Streptophyta; Magnoliopsida; Solanales; Solanaceae
Description: long non-coding RNA (CANN_LNC002277)
Source: RNAcentral
UGCUGAAUUAGAAAAAGAACUACAAAUGUUAAAAGAUCUGUAUGAACAAAGACAAAAGGAAAAAGAAGAGAAAGAUAGAGAACAAAAAUUACUGAACGAGAUAAAUCAAUUUAAGGAAAAAUUGGAAAUAAGAAACAAAGAAUUAGAAAUAAAUAAUAUAGAUAUUGAAGAGACAGAUAAUUAUGAUUUAGAAGAUAGUGAAACAUAUACAGAAAUAUUAACAAAUACAAAAAAUUUAGAAAUCAAUGAAAAACAAGAAGUAAUUAAUGAAGGAAACUUGGAAAGUACCAAAACAGAAAUAAAUACUCUUGAUAAAAAAGAAGACGAAAUACCUAAAACAACAUAAAUAAGAAAACCUAUAUAUUAUAAGAGCAAGUUUAAAAAAUAUAAUGAAUAUGACAAAUGGACACCAAAACAAAUAGUUAAUAAAAAUUAUAACUUUUUAGACCUAGACUGCGUAAUAGAUACAGAAAAAAUAAUACAAUUAUGGAUAGGAUAUAUG